GGGCGUAUAGCUCAGCGGGAGAGCGCUUCGUUGACAUCGAAGAGGUCCCAAGUUCGAUCCUUGGUACGCCCACCA
Molecule: transfer RNA, 75 nt
Filed under: Alphaproteobacteria bacterium
Lineage: Bacteria; Pseudomonadati; Pseudomonadota; Alphaproteobacteria
Description: tRNA-Val
Rfam family: tRNA
About the family: Transfer RNA (tRNA) molecules are approximately 80 nucleotides in length.
Source: RNAcentral